AUACGAAGGGGGCUAGCGUUGUUCGGAAUUACUGGGCGUAAAGCGCGCGUAGGCGGAUUGGUCAGUUAGGGGUGAAAUCCCAGGGCUUAACCCUGGAACUGCCUCUAAUACUGCCAGUCUUGAGUUCGGGAGAGGUGAGUGGAAUUCCUAGUGUAGAGGUGAAAUUCGUAGAUAUUAGGAAGAACACCAGUGGCGAAGGCGGCUCACUGGCCCGAUACUGACGCUGAGGCGCGAAAGCGUGGGGAGCAAACAGGAUUAGAUACCCCGGUAGUCC
RNAcentral lists this ribosomal RNA (274 nucleotides) under uncultured bacterium. RNAcentral's name for it is "partial 16S ribosomal RNA". It matches the Rfam family "Bacterial small subunit ribosomal RNA", at positions 523 to 796 of the family's 1533-position model. The record is from RNAcentral.